UGUUAAGGUAAGUUGAGGCCCUCCGUGA
This 28-nucleotide small RNA is filed under the name Bombyx mori (domestic silkworm). Its description in RNAcentral is "ovarian small RNA-35993". The record is from RNAcentral. Lineage: Eukaryota; Metazoa; Arthropoda; Insecta; Lepidoptera; Bombycidae.